Cajanus cajan (pigeon pea) is the source of this 645-nucleotide long non-coding RNA. RefSeq lists it as uncharacterized. Lineage: Eukaryota; Viridiplantae; Streptophyta; Magnoliopsida; Fabales; Fabaceae. The record is from RefSeq and is a predicted model, not a curated record.
GUUGUUGAGAAACUCUAAAAUUAAGUAAUUUCUUAUGGGGUUUAGGUGAUUAAAGAGUUCUCUAGAUAGAGGUCCAAUUUGAUUCUGAAAAGAGAAAUAUAUAAAGUUUUUUUUAAGAAUUGAGUUUCAUAAACUCAUUUUUUGGAAAACCUUAAAGAGAUUCUAGAGAGAGGAGUUAUGAAGUUCUAAGUCCCUCUUCUUUUUCUUUUUAGUCACGGGAGUUGUAGAAGUUAUGGAUUAAGUAGCUAGCGGGUCAUUCAAAGUCUUUUGAGCCGAGAAUCAGAAUGUUGGAGCAUUUGUGCGAAGUGCCCAGAUUUCUUAUCCUCCUUCUUCCUUCUUCCUUCUUCCUUUUUUCCAAUGUGAUUUUACGAUUGUGAUUAUCAUAUUUGAUACGAAAGGAGAGCAUGAAUAGGUUUUCUGACAGAGCCUUUUGGAGACCUUGUUGGUUGGCAGUGUUGAUUUUGGACUACCUCAGGGUAACUAGUCCAGUAGUUGUUAGUUGAUUAUAGUAGGUUUGAUUGACUAUUAAGAUUUUUAUUUUGAUAUUUGGAUUAUUGUUUAUCUUUAUAUAUUUGUACAAAAUUGUAUUUCUCUAGUUGUUGUUGAGACCCUUGCAUGGAUAUAUUAUAAUAUCUAUUUUCCAAA